AGCUUUGCGCAGUGGCAGUAUCGUAGCCAAUGAGGUUUAUCCGAGGCGCGAUUAUUGCUAAUUGAAAAACCAAAAAUGGCAAUUUCAUACAGUUCAAGGUAAUACUUUUGUAUAUCAAUAGGUCUA
Molecule: small nuclear RNA, 126 nt
Organism: Panthera leo (lion)
Lineage: Eukaryota; Metazoa; Chordata; Mammalia; Carnivora; Felidae
Gene: U4
Rfam family: U4 spliceosomal RNA
About the family: U4 small nuclear RNA (U4 snRNA) is a component of the major U2-dependent spliceosome. The structure of U4 snRNA from yeast and human has been reported.
Source: Ensembl